GAUGAACGCUGGCGGCGUGCCUAAUACAUGCAAGUCGAGCGAACGGACGAGAAGCUUGCUUCUCUGAUGUUAGCGGCGGACGGGUGAGUAACACGUGGAUAACCUACCUAUAAGACUGGGAUAACUUCGGGAAACCGGAGCUAAUACCGGAUGAUAUUUUGAACCGCAUGGUUCAAAAGUGAAAGACGGUCUUGCUGUCACUUAUAGAUGGAUCCGCGCUGCAUUAGCUAGUUGGUAAGGUAACGGCUUACCAAGGCAACGAUGCAUAGCCGACCUGAGAGGGUGAUCGGCCACACUGGAACUGAGACACGGUCCAGACUCCUACGGGAGGCAGCAGUAGGGAAUCUUCCGCAAUGGGCGAAAGCCUGACGGAGCAACGCCGCGUGAGUGAUGAAGGUCUUCGGAUCGUAAAGCUCUGUUAUUAGGGAAGAACAGAUGUGUAAGUAACUGUGCACAUCUUGACGGUACCUAAUCAGAAAGCCACGGCUAACUACGUG
This 497-nucleotide ribosomal RNA is filed under the name uncultured bacterium. Its description in RNAcentral is "partial 16S ribosomal RNA". It matches the Rfam family "Bacterial small subunit ribosomal RNA", at positions 28 to 507 of the family's 1533-position model. The record is from RNAcentral.